UGCGUAGGUGGUUUCUUAAGUCAGAGGUGAAAGGCUACGGCUCAACCGUAGUAAGCCUUUGAAACUGGGAAACUUGAGUGCAGGAGAGGAGAGUGGAAUUCCUAGUGUAGCGGUGAAAUGCGUAGAUAUUAGGAGGAACACCGAUGGCGAAGGCAGGUCUCUGGGCUAUAACUGACGCUGAGGAGCGAAAGCAUGGGGAGCGAACA
Molecule: ribosomal RNA, 206 nt
Filed under: uncultured bacterium
Lineage: Bacteria
Description: partial 16S ribosomal RNA
Rfam family: Bacterial small subunit ribosomal RNA
Source: RNAcentral